Molecule: long non-coding RNA, 1248 nt
Filed under: Populus trichocarpa (black cottonwood)
Lineage: Eukaryota; Viridiplantae; Streptophyta; Magnoliopsida; Malpighiales; Salicaceae
Description: long non-coding RNA (PTRI_LNC003321)
Source: RNAcentral
UUCUUUGUUUUAGUGGUGCAAUGACCUGCAUACCGAUUGCUUUCUUCUAAGUCCUUGCUCUGUCUUGUGUGGUAGUUCAUGGUAGUCAGCCAAAAGUCCCAACAUUUGUUUGGACCUUGUCCUAAAGAAAACUUUCUUUAGAGGCUAAUCUUUGUAUGUUACAAUGCUGUCUGUAACAGCCCAGUUAGCUAUGCAGAUGUUGCCCAAAUGCUUUUUGCUAGCCUCUCUUUUCGAAGUCCUUGCCAUGUCUUCUGUGCAAGUUCCUACUGAUAUGUCUGCCGACAGCAUUUUUUUUCAAGUACGUUUAGAAACACUGAAGUUUACUGCUUCCUUUUUGUUCCCCUUGUCUAUGUAUAUUGGACAUGUUCAUUGGCUAGGUUCUUGUGUAUAUUUUUCUUUAGGUAGAACGAAUGCUUUUUGCUAGUCUCUCUUUACCAAGUCCUUGCCAUGUCUUAUGUGCAAGUUACAACUUACAUGCCGGCAGAUUUUUUUGUGUUUUAUAAUUACUGAAGUUUAUUGCUCCCCUUUUAUUCCUUUUUGUUUAUGUAUAUUGAGCAUGUUCAUUGGCUAGGUUCAUGUGUACAUUUUUCUUGAGGUAGAACAUCAGUGAUCUCGAAGUAGAAUCUAGAAGUUAAUUCUUAUUCGAGAAUAUAUUCGAAGCAAUAGAAUCAAAUGAGUUCCUUAUCAGAAAGUUAUUUGCAAGUCUUUAUGUCAUCAUCUUACUGCUCAGUAUUUUCAAAACUUGAAUAUGGAAUAGAUUGUGAUAUUGACUUAUGGCAUCAUUAUCUGGAUUACACACUCUGACAUUGAUUCAUCAAGUUGUUCAUGCAUGAUGGUUCUGUUUGUGGUGAUACGCUAUUUUAUCCAGAAAGAUAUGGCUGACUGCUGUAUUCUCACUUUUAUAGCUUUUCCAGAUGCAAUCCAUUAGACGAAAUUCCAACAGCAAUGUUGAUGCUUAAAAAAGCUUUUGAAAAUUGAUGUGAGUAAUCAGGGAGCUUGGAGCUCAGAUGUAUUGAGGCAAAGCAGAACCUCAAGUUCAAGUCCUAACUUGGACAAUCUUUUGCUAAUUUGGUUUCCAUAGCAGUAAGUUAUCUGUACUUCUAGGCCCAAAACAAAUAAAUUACUCCCAAAAUUGUCUAAUCCAACCUUUCAAGCAUAGAACAGGAAAUAACCCAUCGCAACGUGACUCAGAAUGUGAAUAUUAUUUCCAAACCACUCAAUUUUAUUUUUUUCUUCAAAAUCUUUAAA